Molecule: small nuclear RNA, 135 nt
Organism: Balaenoptera musculus (blue whale)
Lineage: Eukaryota; Metazoa; Chordata; Mammalia; Artiodactyla; Balaenopteridae
Product: U4 spliceosomal RNA
Exons: 1
Source: RefSeq, a predicted model, not a curated record
AGCUUUGUGCAGUGGCAGUAUCGUAGCCAAUGGGGUUUACCCAAGGUGCGAUUAUUGCAAUAGAUUUCCACUUUAUAAAAAAGUCAUUAUAUCUAUCUUUUUUUUUUUAACAAUUAUUAAGUCCUAGCUUUAUAU